Non-coding RNA from Danio rerio (zebrafish), 72 nucleotides. NCBI's taxonomy places the organism in Eukaryota, Metazoa, Chordata, Actinopteri, Cypriniformes, Danionidae. The record is from Rfam.
UUCCAUAUGGUCUAGCAGUCAGGAUUCCUGAUUUUCACCCAGGUGACCCGGGUUCAACUCCCGGUAUGGGAA